UUGUUGGUAAGGUAAAAGCUUACCAAGGCUUCGAUCAGUAGCUGGUCUGAGAGGACGACCAGCCACACUGGGACUGAGACACGGCCCAGACUCCUACGGGAGGCAGCAGUGGGGAAUUUUGGACAAUGGGGGCAACCCUGAUCCAGCCAUGCCGCGUGAGUGAAGAAGGCRUUCGUUGUAAAGCUCUUUCAGCCGGAACGAAACGGUUACGGAUAACACCCGUGACUACUGACGGUACCGGAAGAAGAAGCACCGGCUAACUACGUGCCAGCAGCCGCGGUAAUACGUAGGGUGCGAGCGUUAAUCGGAAUUACUGGGCGUAAAGCGUGCGCAGGUGGUUUUGUAAGUCAGAUGUGAAAGCCCCGGGCUCAACCUGGGAACUGCGUUUGAAACUACAAGACUAGAGUGUGGCAGAGGGGGGUGGAAUUCCGCGUGUAGCAGUGAAAUGCGUAGAGAUGUGGAGGAACACCGAUGGCGAAGGCAGCCCCCUGGGUCAACACUGACGCUCAGGCACGAAAGCAUGGGGAGCAAACAGGAUUAGAUACCCUGGUAGUCCAUGCCCUAAACGAUGUCAACUAGUUGUCGGGCCUUUACGGGCUUGGUAACGUAGCUAACGCGUGAAGUUGACCGCCUGGGGAGUACGAUCGCAAGAUUAAAACUCAAAUGAAUUGACGGGGACCCGCACAAGCGGUGGAUUAUGUGGAUUAAUUCGAUGCAACGCGAAAAACCUUACCUACCCUUGACAUGUAUCGAAGCCCGCAGAAAAGCGGGGGUGCCCGGAAGGGAACGAUAACACAGGUGCUGCAUGGCUGUCGUCAGCUCGUGUCGUGAGAUGUUGGGUUAAGUCCCGCAACGAGCGCAACCCUUGUCAUUAAUUGCCAUCAUUUAGUUGGGCACUUUAAUGAGACUGCCGG
RNAcentral lists this ribosomal RNA (914 nucleotides) under uncultured bacterium. Its description in RNAcentral is "bacterial SSU rRNA". It matches the Rfam family "Bacterial small subunit ribosomal RNA", at positions 246 to 1155 of the family's 1533-position model. The record is from RNAcentral.